GGUCCGGGCGCUGGGCGGGAUCGGGCUGGCGCCGCUGCCGACGGCGGCGGGGCUGGCCCUGUUCGACGCGGCGCUGGACGC
This 81-nucleotide transfer RNA is filed under the name Pilimelia anulata. Its description in RNAcentral is "tRNA-Gly". Lineage: Bacteria; Bacillati; Actinomycetota; Actinomycetes; Micromonosporales; Micromonosporaceae. The record is from RNAcentral.